This 496-nucleotide ribosomal RNA is filed under the name uncultured bacterium. RNAcentral's name for it is "partial 16S ribosomal RNA". It matches the Rfam family "Bacterial small subunit ribosomal RNA", at positions 28 to 523 of the family's 1533-position model. The record is from RNAcentral.
GAUGAACGCUAGCGGCAGGCCUAACACAUGCAAGUCGAGGGGUAGAAGUUGCUUGCAACUUUGAGACCGGCGCACGGGUGCGUAACGCGUAUGCAAUCUACCUUGUACAGGGGGAUAGCCCAGAGAAAUUUGGAUUAAUACCCCAUAGUGUAAUGAAAUCGCAUGGUUUUAUUACUAAAGUUCCAACGGUACAAGAUGAGCAUGCGUCCUAUUGGCUAGUUGGUGUGGUAACGGCACACCAAGGCAACGAUAGGUAGGGGUCCUGAGAGGGAGAUCCCCCACACUGGUACUGAGACACGGACCAGACUCCUACGGGAGGCAGCAGUGAGGAAUAUUGGUCAAUGGGCGCAAGCCUGAACCAGCCAUGCCGCGUGCAGGAAGACGGUCCUAUGGAUUGUAAACUGCUUUUGUACGGGAAGAAACACUCCUGCGUGUAGGAGCUUGACGGUACCGUAAGAAUAAGGAUCGGCUAACUCCGUGCCAGCAGCCGCGGUAA